RNAcentral lists this transfer RNA (71 nucleotides) under bacterium. RNAcentral describes it as "tRNA-His". It matches the Rfam family "tRNA". Rfam says of the family: Transfer RNA (tRNA) molecules are approximately 80 nucleotides in length. The record is from RNAcentral.
GUGUCUAUGGUGUAGCGGUAACACAACGCUCUGUGGCAGCGUUAUCACCGGUUCGAAUCCGGUUAGACACC